AAGUUUUAAUUCAUUUUAUUCCGUUUAGUUCCUUUCUACAUAAGUGCAGAGGAGAAAUGCAGUUGUCCGCAUGUAAACUUCUAGCAUUUGUCACCAAUUUGAGUACAUCGCAAUCCGUUACUGUUUCAACACCCAGGGGUGUUUCAUGUCUGUAUUCUUAAACAAUUAUUAUUUUUUCUCUCUUUUUUAGCAAUGCACCACUCUCUACUGUCCUUAUCUAUUAUUCUAUAUUCUGCGUCUCCAUCCAGAUUAUCGUGUAUACAAUGAGGGUCCGGAUUGGGGGUUUGUUUAUUUCUGUAUUCU
Molecule: long non-coding RNA, 303 nt
Filed under: Mytilus galloprovincialis (Mediterranean mussel)
Lineage: Eukaryota; Metazoa; Mollusca; Bivalvia; Mytilida; Mytilidae
Source: RNAcentral